CGGGGGCCCGCACAAGCGGCGGAGCAUGCGGAUUAAUUCGAUGCAACGCGAAGAACCUUACCUGGGCUUGACAUGUUCCCGACAGCCGCAGAGAUGCGGUCUCCCUUCGGGGCGGGUUCACAGGUGGUGCAUGGUCGUCGUCAGCUCGUGUCGUGAGAUGUUGGGUUAAGUCCCGCAACGAGCGCAACCCUCGCCCUGUGUUGCCAGCACGUCGUGGUGGGAACUCACGGGGGACCGCCGGGGUCAACUCGGAGGAAGGUGGGGAUGACGUCAGAUCAUCAUGCCCCUUACGUCCAGGGCUUCACGCAUGCUACAAUGGCCGGUACAACGGGAUGCGACACCGCGAGGUGGAGCGGAUCCCUUAAAACCGGUCUCAGUUCGGAUUGGAGUCUGCAACCCGACUCCAUGAAGGCGGAGUCGCUAGUAAUCGCGGAUCAGCAACGCCGCGGUGAAUGCGUUCCCGGGCCUUGUACACACCGCCCGUCAAGUCAUGAAAGUGGGUAGCACCCGAAGCCGGUGGCCCAAC
RNAcentral lists this ribosomal RNA (526 nucleotides) under Bifidobacterium sp. Its description in RNAcentral is "bacterial SSU rRNA". It matches the Rfam family "Bacterial small subunit ribosomal RNA", at positions 914 to 1439 of the family's 1533-position model. Lineage: Bacteria; Bacillati; Actinomycetota; Actinomycetes; Bifidobacteriales; Bifidobacteriaceae. The record is from RNAcentral.